This is a small nuclear RNA of Rhincodon typus (whale shark), 104 nucleotides long. Lineage: Eukaryota; Metazoa; Chordata; Chondrichthyes; Orectolobiformes; Rhincodontidae. The record is from RefSeq and is a predicted model, not a curated record.
GCUGUGGCAGCAUGACAUAUACUAAUGUUGGAACAACACAGAGAAUAUUAGCAUGGCUACUGCGCAAGGAUGGCUUACUAAUUUGAGAAACGUUCCAUUUUUUU